AUGGUCUCCAAGCUGCAAUACUACUUGCCUCUCUUUGGGUCCUCUGAGCACCUCCUCCGGGCCUUCAAGAGGAACCCCUACCUUCUCUCGUCUGACCUUGAGGGUGUGGUCAAGCCCAAUGUCGCUUAUCUGCACGAGUGCGGGCUAGGUGCUUGUGAUAUUGCCAAGCUAUGCAUCAGUCGACCAGGUCUGCUCGUCAUCAAUCCAGAGCGCUUCCAGGACAUGGUGGCAUAUGCCGAAAACAUAGGUGUGCCCUGUGGUUCUGGGAUGUUCAGCCACGCGCUGCAUGCUGUUGCGUGUUUCAGCAAAGAGGAGAUCGCGGCCAGGGUGGACUACUUGAAGAACACGUUCAUGUGGACGGAUGCUGAGGUGGGCAUUGCUGUUUCUAAGGCCCCAUUGAUACUGACGAGGUCCAAGGAAUCGCUGCAGCGCAGGUCUGAGUUCCUCAUCUCCAAGGUGGGGUUGGAACCGGCAUAUAUUGCUUGUCAUCCGGCAAUGCUCACGUAUAGCUUGGAGGGUCGGCUCAGACCCCGGUACUAUGUUGUCAAAUUUCUCAAGGAAAGUGGAUUGCUAGAUCAUGACCGGGGCUACUUUGGUGCAGUCACGAUCAGCGAGAAGGUAUUCGUCGAGAAGUUCAUAUGCCCUCAUAAGGAUGCUGCACCGCAUCUCGCUGAAGAUUAUGCAACAGCUUGCAGAGGGGAGGUUCCAGCUAGAUUCAGUUUUACAUGA
This 729-nucleotide ribosomal RNA is filed under the name Triticum aestivum (bread wheat). RNAcentral's name for it is "partial small subunit ribosomal RNA". Lineage: Eukaryota; Viridiplantae; Streptophyta; Magnoliopsida; Poales; Poaceae. The record is from RNAcentral.